AUGAACGCUGGCGGCGUGCCUAAUACAUGCCAGUCGAGCGAACGGACGAGAAGCUUGCUUUUCUGAUGUUAGCGGCGGACGGGUGAGUAACACGUGGAUAACCUACCUAUAAGACUGGGAUAACUUCGGGAAACCGGAGCUAAUACCGGAUAAUAUUUUGAACCGCCUGGUUCAAAAGUGAAAGACGGUCUUGCUGUCACUUAUAGAUGGAUCCGCGCUGCAUUAGCUAGUUGGUAAGGUAACGGCUUACCAAGGCAACGAUGCAUAGCCGACCUGAGAGGGUGAUCGGCCACACUGGAACUGAGACACGGUCCAGACUCCUACGGGAGGCAGCAGUAGGGAAUCUUCCGCAAUGGGCGAAAGCCUGACGGAGCAACGCCGCGUGAGUGAUGAAGGUCUUCGGAUCGUAAAACUCUGUUAUUAGGGAAGAACAUAUGUGUAAGUAACUGUGCACAUCUUGACGGUACCUAAUCAGAAAGCCACGGCUAACUACGUG
Molecule: ribosomal RNA, 496 nt
Filed under: uncultured bacterium
Lineage: Bacteria
Description: partial 16S ribosomal RNA
Rfam family: Bacterial small subunit ribosomal RNA
Source: RNAcentral